GAACGGGUGAGUAAUGCUUCGGAAUCUGCCUAUUAGUGGGGGACAACUUUCCGAAAGGUAUGCUAAUACCGCAUACGCCCUGAGGUGGAAAGCAGGGGAUCUUCGGACCUUGCGCUAUUGGAUGAGCCUAUGUCAGAUUAGCUAGUUGGUGGGGUAAAGGCCUACCAAGGCGACGAUCUGUAGCGGGUCUGAGAGGAUGAUCCGCCACACUGGAACUGAGACACGGUCCAGACUCCUACGGGAGGCAGCAGUGGGGAAUUUUGGACAAUGGGCGAAAGCCUGAUCCAGCCAUGCCGCGUGAGUGAAGAAGGCCUUUGGGUUGUAAAGCUCUUUCGGCCAGGGAAGAAGACUACUGKGGAUUAAUACUCGCCAUGAAUGGACGUUACUCGACUAAAAAGCCCCCGGCUAACUUCGAGCCAGCAGCCGCGGUAAUACGUAGGGKGCGAGCGUUAAUCCGAAUUUACUGGGCGUAAAGCGUGGCGCAGGCGUUUGCUAAGACAGGUGUGAAAUCCCCGGGCUUAACCUGGGAACUGCGCUUGUGACUGCCAGGCUAGAGUACGCAGAGGGGGGUGGAAUUCCACGUGUACCAGUGAAAUGCGUAGAGAUGUGGAGAAACACCGAUGGCGAAGGCAGCCCCCUGGGCCUGUACUGACGCUCAUGCAGGAAAGCGUGGGGAGCAACCAGGAUUAGAUACCCUGGUAGUCCACGCCUUAAACGAUGUCAAUUAUUCGUUGGGAGCGGUAACCCACUGAGUGACGCAGUUAACGCGUGAAKUUGACCGCCUGGGGAGUACGGCCCCAAGGUUAAAMUUCAAAGGAAUUGACGGGGACCCGCCCAAGCGGUGGAUGAUGUGGAUUAAUUGGAUGCAACGCGAAAACCCUUACUUACCCUUGCCAU
This 897-nucleotide ribosomal RNA is filed under the name uncultured bacterium. RNAcentral's name for it is "bacterial SSU rRNA". It matches the Rfam family "Bacterial small subunit ribosomal RNA", at positions 100 to 987 of the family's 1533-position model. The record is from RNAcentral.